CCUACGGGAGGCAGCAGUGGGGAAUUUUGGACAAUGGGCGCAAGCCUGAUCCAGCAAUGCCGCGUGCAGGAUGAAGGCCUUCGGGCUGUAAACUGCUUUUGUACGGAACGAAACGGUCUGCCCUAAUACGGUGGGCUAAUGACGGUACCGUAAGAAUAAGCACCGGCUAACUACGUGCCAGCAGCCGCGGUAAUACGUAGGGUGCGAGCGUUAAUCGGAAUUACUGGGCGUAAAGCGUGCGCAGGCGGUUAUAUAAGACAGAUGUGAAAUCCCCGGGCUCAACCUGGGACCUGCAUUUGUGACUGUAUAGCUAGAGUACGGUAGAGGGGGAUGGAAUUCCGCGUGUAGCAGUGAAAUGCGUAGAUAUGCGGAGGAACACCGAUGGCGAAGGCAAUCCCCUGGACCUGUACUGACGCUCAUGCACGAAAGCGUGGGGAGCAAACAGGAUUAGAUACCCUGGUAGUCCACGCCCUAAACGAUGUCAACUGGUUGUUGGGUCUUCACUGACUCAGUAACGAAGCUAACGCGUGAAGUUGACCGCCUGGGGAGUACGGCCGCAAGGUUGAAACGUCAAAGAGUAGUAGGACGUGNGAGAGACGACGGACGACGACGACGGAGGGAGGAG
RNAcentral lists this ribosomal RNA (625 nucleotides) under uncultured bacterium. RNAcentral's name for it is "bacterial SSU rRNA". It matches the Rfam family "Bacterial small subunit ribosomal RNA", at positions 338 to 958 of the family's 1533-position model. The record is from RNAcentral.